This is a long non-coding RNA of Gossypium raimondii (Peruvian cotton), 401 nucleotides long. RefSeq lists it as uncharacterized. The transcript has 2 exons. The record is from RefSeq and is a predicted model, not a curated record. Lineage: Eukaryota; Viridiplantae; Streptophyta; Magnoliopsida; Malvales; Malvaceae.
GGAAAUGACUAAGUGUAAACGAAUAUGACAUGUGAUGAAUAAGUGCAGUGUCAUAGAUGCUAGCUCGAGUUGGAGGUCGUUGGAGAUUCUAUCACAUUAACAAGUUAUUGAUUGGUAUUGUAUCAACGAUCUUCAAGUAUUUUUAAGUCUAUGGCAUGUAUAGGGAUUUGAUUAUGUGUGUAGAUGUUAUUAUGAGUUAGCCUAAAAUGUUGGCCUAUAAUAUUUGAUAGUUCAUUUUGUAUAAGGCCAUUGAGGUUGGCUAAUAUUAGUUAAGUUAUAUGUUUAUGAUGUUGUAUUUUGUGGAUGUACAAGCUUGCAUGACUUGGUUGAAUGAGUAUGUAUUGGGCCUCGUAGGCCCUAUUUAGGGACUCAAAGAUAAAAAUUUGAAAAGUUUUAAUUUG